AGCCUCAGAAAAGUCUUGCGCCACUGUCCAUCCACCACGAAGCCAAUAUAAGGGUCACUGGUUUUUCCCCUUGUUCAAAGAAUCAAGAUAUCGCACAGGCAGAGCAUCACCCCCAACAUGGGUUCAGUUCUGAGUAGCUUAGAUGCUCACACAACUGUAGUAGGACUGCUUUCUCUCCUGCUACUAGGGUUCUUUCUCACAAGGAGUUCCAAAGCUCAUGAGAGGAGAGAGGCUCCUAUAGCAGGGGGUAGCUGGCCCGUUAUUGGCCACCUUCCACUCUUGAGCGGUUCAAACAUACCCCAUUACUCUUUGGGAGCUCUGGCCGACAAGUACGGGCCCAUCUUCACUGUCAAGCUUGGGUCUCGACGUGCUCUGGUGGUCAGCAACUGGAAAAUGGCUCAAGAAUGCUACACCACCAACGACUUGGCCGUCUCCUCGCGCCCUAAACUUGUGGCCGUUGAUAACCUCAGCUACAACCAAGCCAUGUUUCUUUUCGCACCCUAUGGUCCUUAUUGGCGUGAGAUUCGCAAGUUCGCCACUCUUGAGUUGCUCUCCAGUUGCCGAAUCCAGCAAUUAAGUCAUGUGCGCGUGUCCGAGGUUGAUUGUUGCGUGAAAGGGCUGUUUCAACUCUGGGCUGAGAGAAAGAACGAGGCAGGCCAGCUUUUAGUGGAUUUGAGUCAGUGUUUUGGGGAAUUGACGAUGAACGAGGUUCUCAGAACAAUGGCCGGGAAACGGUACUUUGGCGGGAGAGCUGAGGUGAACGAGGAAGAGGCACGGCGGUUUCUCAAGACUCUGAGGGAGUUCGUUCGUUUGAUGGGAGUGUUCGUGUUAGGGGACGCCCUCCCUUAUCUUCGAUGGUUGGAUUUGGAUGGACAUGAAAAGGCCAUGAAGAUAACUGCAAAGGAACUCGACACCAUUUUAGAAGAGUGGCUGGAAGAGCACCGAUGCAAGAGAGCCUCAGGAGACCAUAAAGGAGACGGAGACUUUAUGGACGUCAUGCUCUCUGUUCUCGGCGGCUCUGAGCUGGGAGGGUAUGAUGCUGAUACCAUCAAUAAAGCUACCACAUUGAUAUUAAUUGCCGGAGGGGUUGAUACUAGCACAGUGACCCUGACAUGGGCAAUGUCACGUUUGUUAAGCAACCCCCAUGCUUUGAAAGAGGCACAGAAGGAAUUGGACAUCCAAGUUGGAAAGGAAAGAUCGGUGAAAGAAUCUGACAUAAGUCAGUUGGUAUAUCUUCAAGCAAUUGUGAAGGAGACACUAAGAUUGCACCCACCCGCAUCUCUUUCGGGACUCCGUGAAUUCACAGAGGACUGCACCGUGGGUGGCUUUCUUGUUAGGAAGGGAACGCGACUCAUUACCAAUUUGUGGAAGAUUCAAACAGAUCCCACCGUUUGGUCAGACCCCUUGGAGUUCAAGCCAGAGAGAUUUCUGACUACCCACAAAGCUGUUGAUGUGAGAGGGCAUCAUUUUGAGUUACUCCCAUUUGGAAGUGGCCGAAGAAUUUGUCCUGGAAUAUCCUUCGGCCUUCAGACCAUUCAUCUCACUUUGGCCACGUUCUUGCACUCCUUUGAAUUCUCAAAGCCAUCUGACGAGCCCAUUGACAUGAGUGAGGUUUUUGGACUCACUACCAUGAAAGCUACUCCUCUCGAGGCUUUCAUCCAACCUCGUCUUUCUUCCCAGCUUUACGAUGCUCUGUGAUCACUGCCACGGGGCUCACUCAAGGUGUCAAAUUGAGCAAGAAACGCAACGCAAGGGACUUGAAAUUUUAUGCUGCCUGAAAAAAUUUGACCAAGUCCAACGAGAUUUCGUGAAUUCGAAGCCAGAGCAUGUGAUCAUUGUACUACAUAGUCUCACUGAUGUGCCAAAAAUACUGUGUUCUCCGAGAAUUGUGCGUCCCGUGUUGAUUCAAGAAAUAAGAAAUGUAAGAAGUGUGCCGAAUCGCCAGAGAAACAGACGAAUAAAACCGACCAACAACACAUCCCCAGUAGCAGCAAUAUUAAAAAAAUCAGGGACUGACAGAAACCGGCCGUUCUCAUGGUUUCCAGUCACACCGACCGAUUUGUUAUCCCUAUAAGAAGAGGCAUCACCGAGUUCACUCCCACCUUUGAAGCGCAUCGAUCACUCUGCAGAAGCUGAAGUCCUGGGCACAUAUCUGAGAAAAAUAUGUCAGAGAAUUCAAAGGCCGUGAAGCUGCAGAACCUGGCGUUGAAGGAUGAAGAGGAGGAGGAGGAGGAGGAGGAGGAGGAGGAGGCGGUGGGGGUGACGAGGGAAUUGCAGAUAAAGGGAGGUGGGAAAAUGGAAAUGGACAAACAGCUCAUCCUGAAGCGUAUUCGUCAGAGGAAGAGGAUCAACAAGUUCACAGCCGCUCUCCAAUCCCUUGUCACCUCCCCUUUCUCCAAGUCUUCCCCACCCAAUCAUUCCUCCCUCCACGAUCCUUUCACUUUCUUCUAGUUCUAUUUCCCCUCUUUCCUUUUGUCUCCUCUCUUGUAUUCUAUUUACUCUUUCACUCAUCUCUGCUUAUUUGUUCAGUAUCCACGGCCGAGUCCUGAUAGCCGUAUUCUCUGUUAUAUAUAAAUAAUUAUUAUUAUUAUUAUAA
Prosopis cineraria is the source of this 2596-nucleotide RNA transcript. It is a transcript of the gene named cytochrome P450 82A3-like, with no coding region annotated. The record is from RefSeq and is a predicted model, not a curated record. The transcript is spliced from 3 exons. Lineage: Eukaryota; Viridiplantae; Streptophyta; Magnoliopsida; Fabales; Fabaceae.